RNAcentral lists this ribosomal RNA (492 nucleotides) under uncultured bacterium. RNAcentral describes it as "partial 16S ribosomal RNA". It matches the Rfam family "Bacterial small subunit ribosomal RNA", at positions 29 to 507 of the family's 1533-position model. The record is from RNAcentral.
AGUGAACGCUGGUGGUAGGCCUAACACAUGCAAGUCGAACGGCAGCACAGUAAGAGCUUGCUCUUACGGGUGGCGAGUGGCGGACGGGUGAGGAAUACAUCGGAAUCUACUUUUUCGUGGGGGAUAACGUAGGGAAACUUACGCUAAUACCGCAUACGACCUACGGGUGAAAGCAGGGGAUCUUCGGACCUUGCGCGAUUGAAUGAGCCGAUGUCGGAUUAGCUAGUUGGCGGGGUAAAGGCCCACCAAGGCGACGAUCCGUAGCUGGUCUGAGAGGAUGAUCAGCCACACUGGAACUGAGACACGGUCCAGACUCCUACGGGAGGCAGCAGUGGGGAAUAUUGGACAAUGGGCGCAAGCCUGAUCCUGCCAUACCGCGUGGGUGAAGAAGGCCUUCGGGUUGUAAAGCCCUUUUGUUGGGAAAGAAAAGCAGCAGGUUAAUACCCCGCUGUUCUGACGGUACCCAAAGAAUAAGCACCGGCUAACUUCGUG